RNAcentral lists this ribosomal RNA (798 nucleotides) under uncultured bacterium. RNAcentral's name for it is "bacterial SSU rRNA". It matches the Rfam family "Bacterial small subunit ribosomal RNA", at positions 582 to 1397 of the family's 1533-position model. The record is from RNAcentral.
UGUAAGUAGGCGUGAAGCUCCGGCUCAACUGGAGAGGCCGUUCUAAACUGCAGAACUAGAGGAUGGUAGAGGAGGUGGAUUCCAGGUGUAGCGGUGGAAUGCGCAGAUAUCUGGAGGAACACCAGUGGCGAAGGCGGCCUCCUGGGCCAUUCCUGACACUCAGACGCGAAAGCUAGGGUAGCAAACGGGAUUAGAGACCCCGGUAGUCCUAGCCCUAAACGAUGCAGACUAGACGUCGGCGGUGUAAUAGCUGUCGGUGUCCAAGCUAACGCGAUAAGUCUGCCGCCUGGGGACUACGGCCGCAAGGUUAAAACUCAAAGGAAUUGACGGGUCCCCGCACAAGCAGCGGAGCGUGUGGUUUAAUUCGUUGCUACACGAAGAACCUUACCUGGGUUUGACAUAGCAGUGGUAGGAAAGUGAAAACGGACCGACUCGCAAGAGAGCUGUUACAGGUGUUGCAUGGCUGUCGUCAGCUCGUGUCGUGAGAUGUUCGGUUAAGUCCGCUAACGAGCGCAACCCGUGUUGUGUGUUACAAGUGUCACACAAUACCGCCGGUUUUAAGCCGGAGGAAGGUACGGAUGACGUCAAGUCAGCAUGACCUUUAUAUCCAGGGCUACACACACGCUACAAUGGACAGUACAACAGGUUGCCAAGCCGCGAGGCGGAGCCAAUCCCAUAAAGCUGUCCUCAGUUCAGAUUGUAGGCUGCAACUCGCCUGCAUGAAGUCGGAGUUGCUAGUAAACGCAGGUCAGCUAUACUGCGUUGAAUACGUUCUCGGGGAUUGUACACACCGCCCGU